GAUGAACGCUGGCGGCGUGCCUAAUACAUGCAAGUCGAGCGAACAGACGAGGAGCUUGCUCCUCUGACGUUAGCGGCGGACGGGUGAGUAACACGUGGAUAACCUACCUAUAAGACUGGGAUAACUUCGGGAAACCGGAGCUAAUACCGGAUAAUAUAUUGAACCGCAUGAUUCCAUAGUGAAAGACGGUUUUGCUGUCACUUAUAGAUGGAUCCGCGCCGCAUUAGCUAGUUGGUAAGGUAACGGCUUACCAAGGCAACGAUGCGUAGCCGACCUGAGAGGGUGAUCGGCCACACUGGAACUGAGACACGGUCCAGACUCCUACGGGAGGCAGCAGUAGGGAAUCUUACGCAAUGGGCGAAAGCCUAACGGAGCAACGCCGCGUGAGUGAUGAAGGUCUUCGGAUCGUAAAACUCUGUUAUUAGGGAAGAACAAAUGUGUAAGUAACUAUGCACGUCUUGACGGUACCUAAUCAGAAAGCCACGGCUAACUACGUG
RNAcentral lists this ribosomal RNA (497 nucleotides) under uncultured bacterium. RNAcentral describes it as "partial 16S ribosomal RNA". It matches the Rfam family "Bacterial small subunit ribosomal RNA", at positions 28 to 507 of the family's 1533-position model. The record is from RNAcentral.